This 346-nucleotide ribosomal RNA is filed under the name uncultured Glomus. Its description in RNAcentral is "SSU rRNA". It matches the Rfam family "Eukaryotic small subunit ribosomal RNA", at positions 746 to 1092 of the family's 1831-position model. The record is from RNAcentral. Lineage: Eukaryota; Fungi; Glomeromycota; Glomeromycetes; Glomerales; Glomeraceae.
GGACUGUUACUUUGAAAAAAUUAGAGUGUUUAAAGCAGGCCUACGCUUGAAUACAUUAGCAUGGAAUAAUGAAAUAGGACGUUCGAUCUAUUUUAGUUGGUUUCUAGGAUCAACGUAAUGAUUAAUAGGGAUAUUGGGGGCAUUAGUAUUCAAUUGUCAGAGGUGAAAUUCUUGGAUUUAUUGAAGACUAACUACUGCAAAGCAUUUGCCAAGGAUGUUUUCAUUAAUCAAGAACGAAAGUUAGGGGAUCGAAGACGAUCAGAUACCGUCGUAGUCUUAACCAUAAACUAUGCCGACUAGGGAUCGGAUGAUGUUAAUUUUUUAAUGACUCAUUCGGCGCCUUACG